AUCCUUUUGUGGAUCUAUACACAUGAUGCUUGUGUUUUCAUGAGUUUGCAUGACAUGACAUGUUACUACAACAAUAGUACAUUAUCCAUCCAACU
RNAcentral lists this small nucleolar RNA (95 nucleotides) under Sorex araneus (European shrew). RNAcentral's name for it is "Small nucleolar RNA U13 (ENSSARG00000018916.1)". Lineage: Eukaryota; Metazoa; Chordata; Mammalia; Eulipotyphla; Soricidae. The record is from RNAcentral.